RNAcentral lists this long non-coding RNA (375 nucleotides) under Homo sapiens (human). The record is from RNAcentral. Lineage: Eukaryota; Metazoa; Chordata; Mammalia; Primates; Hominidae.
CUGGGACACUUCAUGGUUCAUAUCAAAACACAGAGUGAAGAGAACAUCCUCUGGGCCAUCUCAGAGUGUGAGUUUGGGGCGGGGGUGGCUCCUGGUUAACAUUUCUGUCCACUGCAGCAUUCCUUUUCCCUUUUGCUUUUAGAUUCUUCCCUUGACAUCACACCAGGAAAGUCUGACAACUUAACUUUAUUGGAUAUAGGCAACCGUUGAAUCCAAGUUUUGCCCACUGAAUCCAUCAAAUUGUUACAGCCAAUUCUAGAUGCCUGAGUGGACACAUGAAAUCCAGAUUCCCCAAAGGCCAUGGAAAGACACAGAAGACACAAGGGGAAGGACAUGGUGCGAAGACAGAGGCAGAGAGCUUGGAGUAUUGCAGCU